UCUUGAAAAUAUUUUUUUAACAUACAUUUGAUCUACUUGUCAUGAUUAAGAAUAUUUCAAAUAAAGUAUAUCAUUGCAUAUAAAAUUUCAUAUUUCAAAUAAAACAUUUUAUAUACUCAUUCAUAAUAAAACAUAUAUGUUUUAGAAAAUAUCAAAAAUUUUUCCCUUGGCUAUUCAUCCAGACAUAAUGUAAACAUGUCAUUCUUUGAUUACUUGGUGCCUAUAAAUUCCAACUUAGCCAGGAGAAUUCCCAUCAAACAUGUUUUUGAAUAGUUUAAACCAUAUGAUUUAGCAUUUAUUCCUUUUGUUUUUUAUUUUUAAAUUAAGUUUUAGUAUUAAUAUUUGCAUUAAAAUAAACUAGUAAGGGUUUGGUAGAACUCCACUCAAGUGUUCUAGUAGUUACACUUGACCAUUUAGUUAUAUCGUCAAGAUCAUCUGUGACCAUAAUUCUCUAUAUAACCCAUUCCAGAGCAAUGUUCCCAACACCUCCCUUUGAAGUGUGGCCUAUUUGGUUGCUUGCCGGCAAGAAAAAGUGUGGACAAAAGAAAAGAUAAAAUAUAUUGAUGUUGUGAGUCUUGGCGGGAAACAGCUGACAAUUAUCCCCUUCUCCAGAGAAUGGUCUAAACCUAAGAGGAAUCACCAUACCUCAUUACUCACAAUAGCCACAAUGUGAAAUCAGCCCAAGUGUACAUCAAUGAAUGAAUGAAUGAAUAAAAUGUGGCUUACAUACACAAUGGAAUACCAUACAGCUUUAAGAAGAAAGAAAACUCUGUCACUUGCAACAGCAUGGAUGAGCCUGGACAACAUUACAGUAAGUAAAACAAGACUGGAAGAGAAAGACAAAUACUGCAUGAUUUCACUUGUAUAUGAAAUCUUCCAAAAUCAAACUCCUAAAAUCUGAGAGCAGAAUAGCGGUUAUCAGAGGCUGAGCAAGAGAAGGAUGGGAAAGGUUUACCAAAGGCUAACAAGUUUCGGUUAGAGAGGAGGAAAAAUUUUUUGUAAUCUAUUGCACAGCAUAGUAACCACAGCUAAUAAUAACUGUAUUUCAAAAUUGCUGAAAGAGAUUUUAAACAUCCCCACAAAAAUUAGAUGAGACAAUGAAUGUGCUAAUUAGCUUGAUUUAAUCUUUCUACACUGUAAGCAUAUAUCAAACCUCACAUAUAUCUACCCCACAUAGAUACACAAUUAAUAUUUUCAAUUAAAAAUUAAGUAUACCUGUAAUCCCAGCACUUUGGGAGGCCGAGGCGGGUGGAUCAUGAAGUCAAGAGAUUGAGACCAUCCUGGUCAACAUGGUAAAACCCUGUCUCUACUAAAAAUACAAAAAAUUAGCUGGGCAUGCUGGUGCAUGCCUGUAAUCCCAGCUACUCAGGAGGCUGAGACAGGAGAAUUGCCUGAAUCCAGGAGGUGGAGGUUGCGGUGAGCCGAGAUCGCACCAUUGCACUCCAGCCUGGGUAACAAGAGCGAAACUCCGUCUCCAGAAAAAAAAAAAAUUAAAUAUAAAAUAAAUUUUACCAGUCUCAUGCUCCAUAAAAAUUUUAAUAUUUAUAUAACAAAGAUCAAAAUAUCUAAAAUGAAAGUCAUAUUACAGAUCUAGUGAACAUAUAAAUUCUGACAGCUCAUUAGUUUGGUAGCAUGCUAUACUGAAGUACAUCUGGCACGCAUCAUGGGUUUGAGCACACUCAAGGUCAUGUUUUCAUUUUGAAUAUCAUGAACAGUGAACUAUUUAUUAAGUUUACAAUAUGUGUGCAAUGAAAGCAUUUCGUUGCACACCUUGACUGUCCAUUAUGUCACCAAAGUCAUUGAGCUACUGUGAGGGCUGGGGCCAUGGGAGACAGUGUUGGUGGCCACGGGGUUGAGUGUGUCAUUCAAGUGGAGCAGGAGCUUCACUCGUUGUUCUAGGUUACCCUGAUGAAAGGUAUAUGGAGCUUCCUUUAGCCAAUUUGUUCCACUUAAAUUCAUCCCAAACUGGAUUUGGUCAUAUGUAAUUAUUCAAUAAAAUGUGUAACAAUUGGCACAUCAAAUAAGUAAUUGAAUCAUUCUCAAUAAGUCAAUUACCACAACUUUAAAAAUCUAUGCAUUGGGAUUCCAGGAGAAGAUGGCGCUGUAGGACCAACUCAGGAUUGAAGCUCCCAGUGAAUCUGCAGAUGAUGAGUGGAUGCCACAUUUCCAGAUGGAUCUUUAUUGCCCAGGAGAUUCCCAGGUGUAGGAGCCGCACGGGCUGCCAGGCUGGCUAUUCAGGCCACGACAGCAGGGCAGUGCAGCGGCACUCCGUACAAAGUACACUGGUUUGGUUGCCCUGUUAAACUGCCAAUUGGAGAUUUCGGAAGGCAGAUUAGCACAUUCCUCUGAUUAAACGGGACUUAUGCAGAAAGCCAGGCCAGGAGAUUCCCCGGCAGCAAUGUGAUUCCAGCUGGUGCAGUGGGUCGCUGCAGGGGAAAUCACACAGAUCCCAGCCCCCUUUCAGCAGGCAACUGGAACACCUGGGAGAGAGUCAACAGUUCAACUUAAAAAAAAAAGAAAAGGGCUUUGAGGCAGGGAGCCAGAUGAUCAGGCUCGGCAGAUCCCACCCCCACAAAAACAAACAAAACAGCAAUUGGAAAUGCUCGGGGUUGAGAGUUUCACAGCAAGCACAGCUGAACCCAGGAUGGUGCAGCUUGGAGGGGAGGGGCGUCCGCCAUUACCAAGGCAUUUGACCCCUACAGAGGUACACUGCCAUUGCUGAUGCAGCCUGCUGUUGCUGAGGCAACCCGCUGAGGCUGAGGCAACCCACCAUAACAGAGAGAGUCUGCCACUACAGAGACGGGCCAUCAUCACCACUGCAGCUCUAACCACACCCAUAUAAACAGGACUACAGGGAAUUACACACGGCAGCAGGGUGGAGCCCACAGCA
This is a long non-coding RNA of Callithrix jacchus (white-tufted-ear marmoset), 2890 nucleotides long. RefSeq lists it as uncharacterized. The record is from RefSeq and is a predicted model, not a curated record. NCBI's taxonomy places the organism in Eukaryota, Metazoa, Chordata, Mammalia, Primates, Cebidae.